Molecule: RNA transcript, 2323 nt
Organism: Oncorhynchus keta (chum salmon)
Lineage: Eukaryota; Metazoa; Chordata; Actinopteri; Salmoniformes; Salmonidae
Gene name: E3 ubiquitin-protein ligase TRIM35-like
Exons: 3
Source: RefSeq, a predicted model, not a curated record
ACAAGAGGUCAGUGAGGAACAGAGUGGCAGACAGGCUCGAUGUCAGGGCGGGCAGAAGGGUCAGGCUGGCGGGUACGGAGUCCAUGAAAACACAGGCAAAAGGUCAAAACAAGAGGUCAGAGAGGAACAGAGACAGGCUCGAUGUCGGGGCAGGCAGAAGGGUCAGGCUGGCGGGUACGGAGUCCAUGAAAACACAGGCAAAAGGUCAAAACAAGAGGUCAGAGAGGAACAGAGACAGGCUCGAUGUCGGGGCAGCCAGAAGGGUCAGGCUGGCGGGUACGGAGUCCAUGAAAACACAGGCAAAAGGUCAAAACAAGAGGUCAGAGAGGAACAGAGUGGCAGACAGGCUCGAUGUCGGGGCAGGCAGAAGGGUCAGGCUGGCGGGUACGGAGUCCAUGAAAACACAGGCAAAAGGUCAAAACAAGAGGUCAGAGAGGAACAGAGUGGCAGACAGGCUCGAUGUCGGGGCAGGCAGAAGGGUCAGGCUGGCGGGUACGGAGUCCAUGAAAACACAGGCAAAAGGUCAAAACAAGAGGUCAGAGAGGAACAGAGUGGCAGACAGGCUCGAUGUCGGGGCAGGCAGAAGGGUCAGGCUGGCGGGUACGGAGUCCAUGAAAAAACAGGCAAGGGUCAAAACCGGGAAGUCUAGAAAAAGACAAUAGAAAACAGGAGCACGGGACAAUCACAAGAACAGGUGAACCAGAUCAGGGCGUGACAUCAAUGAUAAAUUAGGCAAUAUUUUAGCAGCCAUGCAAUUAUGUGGUUUCGGUUGUAGGAACUGAUCACUCCUCUAUGUUGUGUGUGUGAGUGAGAUAGGAACUCAGAUGGGAUCAUCCUGGAGAGAAAAAAAGUGUUCUCCAGCCACCACAUGCUACACAAGGCCGUUGAAGGUAAUGGUAAGCAAAUGGGGUCCGAGUGUUACCGAGGACGUGUCACAAUGCCACCUCUUAGCGAAUGGAGAUUUUCCCUCAGUGUCGCUAAGUUGAAAUGUGUCGCUAAGUUGAGAACAGUUGGAGAAAGUAGGGAAAGGCAAGAAAAAUAAUACACGCUGGGAUAAAGUGGCAAGUUGAAGCUGAGACAAAGACAGAGAGAGGGGGGAGUGCAGAGAAGUUUGCAGAGGUAAGGAUGAAAGCUGAAGAAAAAUAAGGCAAAGCAAGUAGGUACAGACGUAAAGAUGAACCGAAUCAACAUCAUCCAUCCACCACCUCAACAACAGCUACCACCUCCACAACAAGAACCCCCAGCAGCAGGAGUAGGGGCUGUGGGGGCAGACGGCGGAGAAUCUGAGGAAGACGAAGAAUGAAAAAGACACAACGCUGGUCACCACACACUGAGUACCGGAGUAAAAUACCGACACCUCAGAGCCACCCCCGCCGAGACUCUAAGCCUCCCCAGCGACUGGUCACAGAAAUGUGACUUUGACUUUAUCCAGACUUACCUCCCCCUCCCCCUCCUGUUUCCACACCACCUUCUGCCGCACAGCUUCCCCUGAUGACAAAUCCAGUGGCUGGCCGUGAUGUGAACGCUGCUUCAACAAUCCUGGUCCAGUGGAAUCGGCAAAUGGGGGAGAUGAUGGACAUUGUGAAGAAGCUCUCUCUCUCUCAUAGCAGGGCACAGUGGUGGAUCCGGUUUACCACCACGAUCAACUGCCCAGCUAAUGCUUUUUGAGAGGGGGAACUCAGGAGACAGAGGAAGGGGGGGGCUGGAAGAGCAAGAGGAGGAAGGGGCCGCAGAAGAGGUGGACGAGGAAGAGGGGAACCAUGGAGGUGUUAUAACUGUUAGCAGCCAGGCCACAUUUCAAGAAAUUUCCCCCAGAACAGGGGUGAUAUGGGUGGCUAUGAUGAAGCUGAGGACAGUGAUACAUACUAUCCACCACCACCACCACCACCACAUGUAACAGCAUCUAACCCGCAGGGUAGAGGGGGAGGCUGGAGAUAGGCUGUGGAGGAGGUAGAAGGAAAAGACAGCCAACAAUGCCACUUUGUUCCCCCAUGCAGCAUCUCUAUCUCCAAGAUGGAGGAUACCAAAUGGGAAGAAUUUGGUACAUGCGUGAGGUUGGCAACAGACUGGGAGCAUUCUCCUCUGUGGGCGGGGCUCACAGAACGUAUGUGAACAGCACACAUGCAAUGCACCGAGGGGACAGUGAAGCCCCUGUUCCAGUUUCCCUGGCACCUAACCAGCCCACCCCUGACAGCGCACUGUUGACUCAGGUUCGGGACUGUUUAUGGACAAGGGAAGAUGAGAGGAGCAACGCCUGUGAAGGCACAUAUCGGCCCCACAAAGCACUGAACCCCUUGCAUAAGGAGGAGGAGGAGGAGGAGGA